CUUCAGUACAGGCUCCAGAGCCACCUGCUGGGCCUCCAUCUCCCUCCGAGCCUGCUCAAGGAUGGAACGAAUGUUCUCGUCGGAGCUGCUGGAGGAGGACGGAGGCUGAGAACUCUCAACUGCAGGAACAGAGGAGAACAUAAAAAGACUCGCCUGCUUUCUGCACUUGCAACUCUCUCUUUGCCUGUUCCAAGAUGGACUUGAUGGCUUCAUCGGAGCCAGUCUCAGGCGUGCGGAUCCGUGUGGUGAUGUUACCUGUGUAGACACGAGAAGGACAUGUAGCUAUUCCAGGCCAGAGAUUGAGAAGAAACAGACCAGCACAACAAAAACAUACAAGACACAGCGGUUCUGAGACUGGAGAAACCCGGAACACGAGAGGGGAGGCGUGAGACAGACCUGGCCGCGUGGAGCCUUCCGAGCCGGUUCUUCGCUUCGGAACAUCCUGAAACACUCUGUUCAGGUUCUGGCCUGGGUUCUCUGUUGGAAAACAAGUGGCGGAAGAUAGAAAUAAAGUAAGACCAAGCCCUAAACUUCUCCAAUCAUCUCCAGGGCUCAACAAUAAGAAUGACCCGAGAAUGAGAGAUUUUCUUUUAGGCCUUUUAACAGAAAAGUCACCUGACCUACAGGCCUGGUAUAUUUUACAUUUGCAAAAACCUUGCAUUUGGAAUCAGAUUUCUGCUGAUUUAGCAAACACAGAUUAAGUUUUGCCAUAUUUGCGAGAGAAUGACUAGCCUUCGUCACAACAAAUCAGUUAAGUUUCACAUGCAAUCAUUUUCCAACAAAAAGUAUGAAUAAAUCCAUAGCUUUCAGUUACACUGUAGUUUUACAAUUUCCAGAUAUUACUGAAAAUAAAAAUGAAAAAAUCCUUAUUGUUGAGCCCUGAUCUGAAAUGGUUGUCAGAAUGUCUUCACAGUCAGUUUUGAGAGCACUUAGUAAUACUAAGCCAAAGUAAUACCUUUACAUGGACAGAUAGAUGGAAAUAUCCUUUGAAUGGUAGUUUGUUAAGCUUGAACACAUAUCGACCGAUUCUGACCUCAAAGAAAGCCACCUGCACCAUGUAGAACUCACUCAAGUGAUUAUUUCAACGUUAAUGUGCUCCUUUAGCCCAAGCCUUUGAUGUGAAUGAAUGGGUUUUAAGGUUUUUACAAAGUCCGUACUCCCAUGGGAGACCACAAGCUGACACUAUGGAGGCAGACAGCCAGACCACACUCCCUUGAAGACGUUCCAAACCGGUGUGCAGACGCACGGGCAGCACAGUCAGCCUUUUUCAGCUCCGGCUUGGUUUCAAAACUACUGCCUCACAGCUAGAUUGAACAAACCUAGACUCGGUUUAACACGGCUUCGAGGAUUCACAGCCAACUGCCCUCAUAUGCAAGUACUCUCGCUCACGCUGGGCUCGGCCUUGAUUUGUUCGCUCUAGCUGUGAAGCACAGACUUGAGGCAAAACAUAAUGCUCGCAAACUUCUCUGAACUUCCUCUUCACCCGUAGGCUGAGACGGAAAUGAAAGAAAGGGUAGACUGCUGAAGUUUAGCUCUAAUCAACACGCCGGCUGUGCCAGCUGAGUACUGAGUGUUUCAGACAGAAUCUAGUCUCUAGUAGUCUAGUCUAGUAGUUAUCUGAGGACUCCUAAAUUUAAAGGUUAUGUGCACCAUGGUUAGUUUAGCCUAAAGCUUAUUGGAAGGGAACCAUGGAAGCCUGUUUUUGUCUACAGUAAAGAAAAAAGGUGACUGCGACUUCAUACUUAAAGAUUAUGUCUUCAUAUCUCACAAAUGUAAUUUAUUUAUUUUUUUACAUCAGAAAUGUGACUACUUUUCUCAUAAUUGAAACUCUUUACCUCAGAAAUGCUUUUACCUUUUAAAAUUUUUACCUCACAAAUGCAUCUCAAAAUCGCAACUUUAUAUCUCACAAAUAUGACUAUACUUCACAAAU
Carassius gibelio (silver crucian carp) is the source of this 1930-nucleotide long non-coding RNA. RefSeq lists it as uncharacterized. The transcript has 3 exons. The record is from RefSeq and is a predicted model, not a curated record. Lineage: Eukaryota; Metazoa; Chordata; Actinopteri; Cypriniformes; Cyprinidae.